RNAcentral lists this ribosomal RNA (523 nucleotides) under uncultured bacterium. RNAcentral describes it as "bacterial SSU rRNA". It matches the Rfam family "Bacterial small subunit ribosomal RNA", at positions 355 to 896 of the family's 1533-position model. The record is from RNAcentral.
CAACGAAUAUUCCGCAAUGGACGCAAGUCUGACGGAGCGACGCCGCGUGCAGGAAGAAGUCCCUCGGGAUGUAAACUGCUGUCAGGGGCUAGAAAGAUCUGAUCAGCCCCGGAGGAAGUCUCGGCUAACUACGUGCCAGCAGCCGCGGUAAUACGUAGGGUGCAGGCGUUAAUCGGAAUUACUGGGCGUAAAGGGUGCGCAGGCGGUUUGUUAAGACAGGUGUGAAAUCCCCGGGCUUAACCUGGGAACUGCGCUUGUAACUGGCAGGCUAGAGUGUGGCAGAGGGGGGUGGAAUUCCACGUGUAGCAGUGAAAUGCGUAGAUAUGUGGAGGAACACCGAUGGCGAAGGCAGCCCCCUGGGUUAACACUGACGCUCAUGCACGAAAGCGUGGGGAGCAAACAGGAUUAGAUACCCUGGUAGUCCACGCCCUAAACGAUGUCAACUAGUUGUCGGGGAAGCAAUUCCUUGGUAACGAAGCUAACGCGUGAAGUUGACCGCCUGGGGAGUACGGCCGCAAGGUUA